Molecule: ribosomal RNA, 567 nt
Filed under: uncultured Micromonas
Lineage: Eukaryota; Viridiplantae; Chlorophyta; Mamiellophyceae; Mamiellales
Description: bacterial SSU rRNA
Rfam family: Bacterial small subunit ribosomal RNA
Source: RNAcentral
GAGUCUUCGGACUGCGGAAGAGUGGCGAACGGGUGAGGAACACGUAAGAAUCUGCCCCUCGGUCGGGGACAACUCUUGGAAACGAGAGCUAAUACCCGAUACGCUGUGGAGUGAAAGAAUUUCGCCGAGGGAUGAUCUUGCGUCUGAUUAGCUAGUUGGUGUGGUAACUGCACACCAAGGCGACGAUCAGUAGCUGGUCUGAGAGGAUGGACAGCCACAUUAGAACUGAGACACGGUCCAAACUCCUACGGGAGGCAGCAGUGGGGAAUUUUCCGCAAUGGACGAAAGUCUGACGGAGCGACGCUGCGUGAAGGAUGACGGCCCGCGGGUUGUAAACUUCUUUUCUCGAAGAAGAAACAAAUGACGGUAUUCGAGGAAUAAGCAUCGGCUAACUCCGUGCCAGCAGCCGCGGUAAGACGGAGGAUGCAAGUGUUAUUCGGAAUGAUUGGGCGUAAAGAGUCUGUAGGCUGUAUAGAAAGUCUUUUGUUAAAUUCCUCGGCUCAACCGAGAUCAAGCAAAGGAAACUUCUAUACUUGAGGGAAGUAGAGGUACAGGGAAUUCCCGGUG